UACGUAGGUGGCAAGCGUUGUCCGGAUUUAUUGGGUUUAAAGGGUGCGUAGGCGGUUUUAUAAGUCAGUGGUGAAAUACGGCAGCUUAACUGUCGAGGUGCCAUUGAUACUGUAAGACUUGAGUACUGAUGAGGUAGGCGGAAUUGACGGUGUAGCGGUGAAAUGCGUAGAUAUCUGGAGGAACACCGGUGGCGAAGGCGGCAUCCUGGACCAACACUGACGCUGAUGAGCGAAAGCCAGGGGAGCAAACGGG
RNAcentral lists this ribosomal RNA (253 nucleotides) under uncultured bacterium. Its description in RNAcentral is "partial 16S ribosomal RNA". It matches the Rfam family "Bacterial small subunit ribosomal RNA", at positions 524 to 776 of the family's 1533-position model. The record is from RNAcentral.